UAGGGAAUCUUCCGCAAUGGGCGAAAGCCUGACGGAGCAACGCCGCGUGAGUGAAGAAGGAUUUCGGUUCGUAAAGCUCUGUUGUUAGGGAAGAAUGAUUGUGUAGUAACUAUACACAGUAGAGACGGUACCUAACCAGAAAGCCACGGCUAACUACGUGCCAGCAGCCGCGGUAAUACGUAGGUGGCAAGCGUUGUCCGGAAUUAUUGGGCGUAAAGCGCGCGCAGGUGGUUUAAUAAGUCUGAUGUGAAAGCCCACGGCUCAACCGUGGAGGGUCAUUGGAAACUGUUAAACUUGAGUGCAGGAGAGAAAAGUGGAAUUCCUAGUGUAGCGGUGAAAUGCGUAGAGAUUAGGAGGAACACCAGUGGCGAAGGCGGCUUUUUGGCCUGUAACUGACACUGAGGCGCGAGAGCGUGGGGAGCAAACAGGAUUAGAUACCCUGGUAGUCCACGCCGUAAACGAUGAGUGCUAAGUGUUGGUCUCAUAAGAGAUCAGUGCUGCAGCUAACGCAUUAAGCACUCCGCCUGGGGAGUACGACCGCAAGGUUG
Molecule: ribosomal RNA, 548 nt
Filed under: uncultured bacterium
Lineage: Bacteria
Description: bacterial SSU rRNA
Rfam family: Bacterial small subunit ribosomal RNA
Source: RNAcentral